AUGUACCACGCGGACACUCCGGUUAUGAGCGCGCCGUCCGCGCCCACUUGACAGCUGCUCGCUACGUUUUGUUCGCC
RNAcentral lists this small RNA (77 nucleotides) under Xanthomonas oryzae. Its description in RNAcentral is "sX9 sRNA". It matches the Rfam family "Xanthomonas sRNA sX9". The record is from RNAcentral. Lineage: Bacteria; Pseudomonadati; Pseudomonadota; Gammaproteobacteria; Lysobacterales; Lysobacteraceae.